AACAUUACCCUUUACUAAAGGGCUCUUCAGCAAGGAUGUAGGCAAACAAAACAGCAAUGCUUCAAUCUCAAAUGAAUUCAGAAGAUGUAAACAUAAGUUGUCCCAACAGAGCGUGCUAGAUAAAGGGAUAUAUUACUACAAAAUCUUGCCUUAGAUUUCAGCAAGUAGCCACAAUUAACAAAAAUACAAUGUUCCAAUCGUUCCAUGUAUUUAUAUAACAAAUCAGCUUUGGACAUAUCCAAGGACCUCCCUUUUCUCCAUCAGAUAGCUAGCUAGGUCCAGACAAAUUUUUCUUUGCCACAAGCCA
This 307-nucleotide unclassified non-coding RNA is filed under the name Hevea brasiliensis (rubber tree). Lineage: Eukaryota; Viridiplantae; Streptophyta; Magnoliopsida; Malpighiales; Euphorbiaceae. The record is from RNAcentral.